GACGAACGCUGGCGGCGUGCUUAACACAUGCAAGUCGUACGGUAAGGCCCUUUCGGGGGUACACGAGUGGCGAACGGGUGCGUAACACGUGAGUAACCUGCCCACAACUUUGGGAUAACGCUAGGAAACUGGGGCUAAUACUGGAUAUGUGCUCCUGCUGCAUGGUGGGGGUUGGAAAGCUCCGGCGGUUGUGGAUGGACUCGCGGCCUAUCAGCUUGUUGGUGGGGUAGUGGCCUACCAAGGCGGCGACGGGUAGCCGGCCUGAGAGGGUGACCGGCCACAUUGGGACUGAGAUACGGCCCAGACUCCUACGGGAGGCAGCAGUGGGGAAUAUUGCACAAUGGGCGCAAGCCGGAUGCAGCAACGCCGCGGGCGGGAUGGCGGCCUUCGGGUUGUAAACCGCUUUCAGCAGGGACGAAGCUUUUUGUGACGGUACCUGCAGAAGAAGCACCGGCUAACUACGUG
This 465-nucleotide ribosomal RNA is filed under the name uncultured bacterium. Its description in RNAcentral is "partial 16S ribosomal RNA". It matches the Rfam family "Bacterial small subunit ribosomal RNA", at positions 28 to 507 of the family's 1533-position model. The record is from RNAcentral.